CUCCUUCUCCUCCUUCUCCCUUCCCUGCAGCGCGCUCACAGCCUGGGACUCGCAUCGCCGGCUCCGAAGCGGGCGGUCGACACCCCUCUUCCCUCCCUUUGCCCCCUUUUGCCUUUUUCUGCCCCCCCCACCCCAUCCCCCGCAGCCAUGAGGCGCCCGACCCGCCGCCUGGCGCUGUCUGUGCUGGGGGUGCUCUGGAUCGCCGCUCUCCUCCUCCUCUUCUUCGGGGCGAGGAGGAAGUCGGAGGCGGAGGGACCCGAGAGCCAAACGCCGGAGGGCUCGGAGGCGGACUGGGACGACCUGUGGGAUCAGUUUGAAGAGCGGAGAUACCUGAGCGCUCGGAAGUGGAAGGGCGGAGAGGACCCGUACCGGCUCCAUGCCUUUAACCAGCGGGAGAGCGAGAGGAUGCCCAGUGACCGUGCCGUCCGCGACACCCGCCACCACAGAUGUACAACUCUGCACUACCGCCAGGAUCUCCCUCCCACCAGCAUUGUCAUCACCUUCCACAACGAGGCCAGGUCUACUCUGCUGAGGACCAUUCGGAGUGUGAUGAACCGCACCCCAGUGCACCUCAUCCAUGAGAUCAUACUGGUGGAUGACUUCAGCGACGACCCUGAUGACUGCCGCUUGUUGGCCAAGCUACCUAAGGUGAAGUGCCUGCGGAACAGACAGCGCGAAGGUCUGAUCCGGUCCCGCAUUCAAGGGGCAGAUGUGGCUCAAGCAGGAGUCCUGACCUUCCUGGACAGUCACUGUGAGGUGAAUAAGGACUGGCUGCUCCCGCUGUUGCAGAGGAUCAAAGAGGACCCCACACGGGUGGUCAGCCCUGUUAUUGACAUCAUCAACUUGGACACUUUUGCCUAUGUGGCAGCUUCCUCAGAUCUCAGAGGCGGUUUUGACUGGAGCCUGCAUUUCAAAUGGGAGCAGCUUUCCCCGGAGCAGAAAGCCAAACGACUUGAUCCUACCAAACCCAUUAAGACUCCCAUCAUUGCUGGGGGGCUGUUUGUGAUCGAUAAAGCCUGGUUCAACCACCUGGGGAAGUAUGACAACGCCAUGGACAUCUGGGGCGGGGAGAACUUUGAAAUCUCCUUCCGUGUGUGGAUGUGUGGAGGUAGCCUGGAAAUCAUCCCCUGCAGCCGUGUUGGACACGUCUUCCGGAAGAAACAUCCCUAUGUCUUUCCAGAGGGGAACGCCAAUACGUACAUCAAAAACACCAAGCGCACUGCAGAGGUGUGGAUGGAUGAAUUCAAACAGUACUACUAUGCUGCCCGGCCUGCGGCCCAGGGGAGGCCUUAUGGCAACAUUCAGAGCAGAGUGGAGCUGAGGAAGAGGCUGAAAUGCCACAGCUUCAAGUGGUACCUGGAGAAUGUUUACCCUGAACUUCGGAUUCCUGAGGAAUUGCUAUAUCAGACCGGGAUGAUCAGGCAAAGGCAGAGCUGCCUGGAAUCACACAAGUCUGAAGACCAAGAGCUGCCCAUCUUGAGCUUAAAUCCUUGUAUCACCAGCAAAGGCACAUCAGCAACAGCACAGGCUGAAAAGUGACAAGACGUGAUUAGAAGUGGAUAGAACACUUUCAGCAGGACUGGCUUCCAUAAAAAGCUGUUCUGUCAAAAUAGAAGGGUCUUGUGGAAAUCUGUCAGUUUAGAUAAAAGAGUAGCAGAACAGCCUGGGGGCAAGGGUGGGGGAUCCAAUGUCUGUUGUUGAGCUGAUGCACGUAUCUAGCUUUGUAGGCCUGGCUGCUUAGGAUCAAGAGCUUAGAAAGAGUGGUUAAACCAUCCCGUCUAUCCCAUGGAACCUCGUUGAAUGAGAGGAUGGUCAUUCUUUGAGACAAGAUGACUAAUGGGAUGGCGUGGGUAGAGCCUGGCCUGGAAUUAAGCAUGGAGAACCUCUGGGAGAAGCAGUUCUCUGUGAGAUGCCUCUGAAGCAAGGUAUGGAGGCCAGGGAAUCCACUCCUUGAAUUAUUUGAGGGAUCCAACACAGACACGAGUUGCUUGCUGGUGCUGAGGAGCCUCACAACCACCAUCAAGCUGUGUUCUGAACUAAACGAUGAGCAACUGAUUAAAAAUGUAAAACAGUUUUCAAAGCAGGUUGUAGUAACGUGGGUGCCAAGAGCAGGUGUUGGAAUUCGCCUCUUAAGGCUUGGUUCUUCACAGAUGCAGGCCUAAUUUGGCACGACUUCCCAGACUGACAGUGUGCACAGUUGGGAUGUCUGGAACGCCUUCUCUGUAGGAUCAGGUAAACUCUGUUCCAUCUGACAAAGAAGAAGUAGUUGCCAGAAGGCCCUUGAGUUGCAGAAUGUGGCUCUGAAAAUGAAUGCUUGUUCUAUGAGGAAAUCUUGGGCAGCCCUUGCUGAGAAACCUGUGGGCAGGCUGUUCAGAAAGACGGGCUCAAUUUCUAUUAGCUGAUGGGGAGAAGUAGGCUAAGAAGCAUAGGAUGCAAGGAGCACAGUGUGAAGUCCUUGUAGAUCUGGGUCUGCUGUGCAAAAAUGUGUUUUCCCUUCUAGGUGGCUAAGAACCUGAAUGAAGCAUGAUUUAUAUUAAACGAAUUAAAUGCCUGCACUGUCUGUUUUGAAGUCAGGGAGUGAAGUUUGAAAGUCAUAGCAAAUCAGUGCUGCAAACAUUUGGAGUUCAGUCUUGUUGCAGGUGAAUAAGAAAAACAAGAUCUUGUGAAGUUAGCCUGAGGAAUUUAUUAACUAUAAUCAACAAUUGAACUAGAAAUGGUGAUCAAGCAAUCUGUUACAGUUUCCCAGUGGUCAAACCCUCUCCUGCUUACUACAUGCUUAAUAACUGAGCUGUCUUGAUGCGUACAAAAUGUUACAGGCACAUAGGAGCAUUGCUUACCUUGAUGUGAACAUCAGGGAAGGGAUCUCUCAGCUUCCAGGAAUAGGCUAGAGAGGUAUCCCUGCUCAAAGGAGAGCACUGUGCAGCCCAGUGCCAUACAGGACCGCUCAAUGGGCUCUGGGAGCAGUAAGCAUUUGUAGCAUGAAGCUGCUGACUUGUAGUCAAAUUUUCUACAGUAAGGUACUGUGUUUCUCUCCAUCUCUUAUCAGCAGUGUCUCUGCACAGGAACUCACGUCCUUAGACAAUACAGUUUACAAUGUCUGUGUAACCCACUGGGCUCCAAUGAGGGGUGCCUAUAAGCAGUGCCUGAAGCAGACUCUCGCAGCUCCCACUCUUUUGAUACAAAGGGGAACUUUACCCAUAAGAUUUGUGACCUUUGGGAACAGAAUCCUGAGGAAUUGCAGAUGUCUGCUGUAUGUUACCUCCUGUCUCCUUGUGCCAGCCACAGAGCAUUUCUGUUGCCCUUCCCUGGAAUGAAAAUGAUUGCAUCUUGUGUGGAAUGGACAUACACAUACAACCACCAAGUCCGUCAGCAGCAGCUGUGCUUGUCUGUGUAUACCCUGUUCCCUGGCUCCCCAGUGCUCCUGUCACCUUGCAAAGAAAGUGACAACAAGCAG
Gallus gallus (chicken) is the source of this 3454-nucleotide RNA transcript. It is a transcript of the gene named polypeptide N-acetylgalactosaminyltransferase 14, with no coding region annotated. Lineage: Eukaryota; Metazoa; Chordata; Aves; Galliformes; Phasianidae. The transcript has 15 exons. The record is from RefSeq and is a predicted model, not a curated record.